Molecule: ribosomal RNA, 433 nt
Filed under: uncultured bacterium
Lineage: Bacteria
Description: partial 16S ribosomal RNA
Rfam family: Bacterial small subunit ribosomal RNA
Source: RNAcentral
AACGAACGCUGGCGGCAGGCCUAACACAUGCAAGUCGAGCGAGGACUUCGGUCCUAGCGGCGGACGGGUGAGUAACGCGUGGGAACGUGCCCUUUGCUUCGGAAUAGCCCUGGGAAACUGGGAGUAAUACCGGAUGAGCCCUUUGGGGGAAAGAUUGAUCGGGGAAGGAUCGGCCCGCGUUGGAUUAGGUAGUUGGUGGGGUAAUGGCCUACCAAGCCGACGAUCCAUAGCUGGUUUGAGAGGAUGAUCAGCCACACUGGGACUGAGACACGGCCCAGACUCCUACGGGAGGCAGCAGUGGGGGAUCUUAGAAAAUGGGGGAAACCCUGAUCUAGCCAUGCCGCGUGAGCGAUGAAGGCCUUAGGGUUGUAAAGCUCUUUCAGCUGGGAAGAUAAUGACGGUACCAGCAGAAGAAGCCCCGGCUAACUCCGUG